GAGUCCGUAGCUCAGCCGGUAGAGCAUCUGACUUUUAAUCAGAGUGUCGCGGGUUCGAGCCCCGCCGGACUCACCA
Molecule: transfer RNA, 76 nt
Filed under: Alphaproteobacteria bacterium
Lineage: Bacteria; Pseudomonadati; Pseudomonadota; Alphaproteobacteria
Description: tRNA-Lys
Rfam family: tRNA
About the family: Transfer RNA (tRNA) molecules are approximately 80 nucleotides in length. Their secondary structure includes four short double-helical elements and three loops (D, anti-codon, and T loops).
Source: RNAcentral